CUCAUCUUGGUUUAAAAAGACCGGCUACCUAGGUAGCUGAAAUUUAGUCACAGAAUCCUUCUGUAUUCAAUCUUGGGACAUCUCACCUACUAGCUCAAGAGAAAUACCAGAUGGCCCUCACCGGAGUCUUGUGGGCAUUUGCAUUUGUAUGCAUCACGCUGUGUCAGGCAGGGAAGAUUUACUCUGUCGGAGGUUUGUCGGUUCGCAAUCUCAACCACCAAGAUAAACUAACGUGGCUCGAAACAUUACAGGAGAAAAGGGUAACCACCGACGACAAAUACCACCUUGCCUGGCUGCUAUACAAGCUUUUAAAGUCACACAGCAACCAGUUCAAAUCAAACUUUGUCCCUCCUGGACCAGAGAGUGGCGGGAUACAGGAGAAUAGGCGCGAGACUACGCCGCAGAAGGACAAGCGCGUUCGCAAAGCCGGAUGCAGAAUGUUCUUUUGGAAGUCAUGGACCGCAUGCUAACAGACUUGUCUACCUUUUACUCCAAAAACAGAUGGUUUUCCAAUCGAGAGCCUUCAUUCCAAAUCAGCUUACCAACGUUUUUCCGCAAUUAUUAAUGUAACUUCUUAUUUUUAUGAAUGGUAACUUAUCAACUUAUUGACGUGGUUGUGAGGCUAUAUAUGUCAAGUUGUAAUAAAAUGUGAGUUAUUUAUUCA
This is a non-coding RNA of Salmo salar (Atlantic salmon), 664 nucleotides long. NCBI's taxonomy places the organism in Eukaryota, Metazoa, Chordata, Actinopteri, Salmoniformes, Salmonidae. The record is from RefSeq and is a predicted model, not a curated record.